This is a long non-coding RNA of Lycium ferocissimum, 264 nucleotides long. RefSeq lists it as uncharacterized. NCBI's taxonomy places the organism in Eukaryota, Viridiplantae, Streptophyta, Magnoliopsida, Solanales, Solanaceae. The transcript is spliced from 3 exons. The record is from RefSeq and is a predicted model, not a curated record.
GUUCUCUCCCAUAUGAGGAGGUAAACCCUAGCCGCUGCCCCCCUUUUUCUUCUCUCUCCUCUCAUCAUCAUCGCCAUUUUUGGCAAUAUGAAAGGCGCACGUUGUUUUCUCCAGGCCUGGUAUGGCCAAAUGGAGCAAAGCAUUAAAUGCUUCUACUAUUGUCACCAAACGCAACCCCAAAUGAGUUUUUGGGAUUUGAGGAAAAAGCGUCUCCAAAGGUUCAAUCUCGACAGAGGCUACACUCAAAAAAGAUUGUGAUCCAGA